Molecule: long non-coding RNA, 1651 nt
Organism: Engraulis encrasicolus (European anchovy)
Lineage: Eukaryota; Metazoa; Chordata; Actinopteri; Clupeiformes; Engraulidae
Exons: 5
Source: RefSeq, a predicted model, not a curated record
UUGAAAAACAGUUAUUGCAUGCCCAAGAAGUCACACUGUAAGCUAACAAUUGCUCUCUGUUGACAUUUGUUUAAUGUUGGAAUGGAUGGUCGAAAGGUAGCCCUACCAUGCCCAUCAUCAUUAGACAACCAAGGAAUGUAGGUGGACUAGGAUAUUUUCCUUCUUUUUUCCAGAUUGAUAAGUGUCCAAGGAUGGCCGGCGGUCAGAGGUCCUGUUGUGUGUCUGUAGAAUCUUACUCAGCAGGUGCAGACCGCACUGGGGUCCACGGGUUGUAUAGACAGAUGCACUUCAGGAAAGACUGACUGCUUUGCAGACUCAAGCUACUCUGUCCACUGAGGGAGAUGCAAGAUCUUCAGCCAAUGUUUUCUCAGCUCCAGCCACUGAGUCAGGCACCCCAGGCCCUCAGUCCAGCUUCGGUCCACACCCCUAUUUUUGCAUGUGCCUCUGCUCUGCAGGACCUGACCCCAGAUUCUGAGCAAACGUCACUGUUGGUGGAAGAGCACGAUGAAGUAGAAGUGGCUGCCGCAGAGGAAGAGGAGGGCGUUGACCCCACAGUGCUUGAUAUGGCUCCACCAUCUCCUGAUGACGACACAAUAAGGCACACCUUUGGCUCUUGGCACAGCUCCCAGGCACAUACUUUACUCCUGUACCCUCCACUGCUGCCCAUGACACAAGCUCCAACACUGGCAUGACCUCCAUGACCUCAACCACACUGCUGACCCUGGCACGACCUCCAUCACUGCUGACCCUGGCACGACCUCUACUAACUCCUACCCUGGCACCAUCUCCACCACCGCUGGUACCUCCUCCUCGCGGGUUGCAGGGAUACAGCCUACUGGACCUACUGAAUUGCACAAAACUAUGGCUGUUGAAGACCAGUGUCCAUGAAUACCAGCUCAUUGACAGACUUCCAGAAUAUUUGCUUGGGCUCCUGGAUCAGACAUCUCUUCCUCACUAAUCACAAGGCAAAAUAGUAGCCCUUUGGAAAAGACUGGAUGAACGUGACAAGCGGGUUGCUGUAUGCUGCACGGCACCAAGACAAACUCCUGUGUGGACAUUUUAAAAUGCCAAAGAAGCCUUCAAAGACAUCAGUUGUGGAGAGCACAACCUGUAGCAUCUUGGAUGCAAGCAGUACACCUGUGGCUGGACUGUUGUCAGGUUGUGGAGACAGUUGGUAUUAGACUGUGUGAUGAGCACAGACUAUUUGAAAGGUUGGAUAGUCUCUGUAAUGUUAAUGGGGUUUUUUUUGUUGGGCGGGGUCAUUAUUGGGAUUUGAUCUGAUUUUUAUAAUCACGUAAUGGUGCAACAUAUGUCUUAUUUUCUUUUAAAUGGCCUAUGGAUACUUGACCCGGAUUUUCCUCUGUCUGGACCAUGCACAGUGACUUUUUGAGACUCAGACUGUACCUAUGAAACAUGUGAUGGACCACUCUUAUUCUCUCAUCACCAACCUCAGCGGUGUGUGUGUGUCUGUGUGUCAGUGUUUUUAUAUAUGAAUGGUACUGGACACCUUAUUUUCCCUCAGGAUUAAUGGAAAAUGGAAAAUGUUCUGCUCUACUCUAAAGAAGGAAUUAAAGUUGCCAUUGUCAGCUGAUGCUGGCUUUUUUGUUAACAUUAAAUAUGGUUAAAAAAAUAAAAUUUCUACUUAAUUACA